AGUCGANCGGUAACAGAGGAAAGGCUUGCCUUUUCUGCUGACGAGUGGCGGACGGGUGAGUAAAGUAUGGGGAUCUGCCGAAUGGAGGGGGACAACUGCUGGAAACGGCAGCUAAUACCGCAUAAAGUUGAGAGACCAAAGCGUGGGACUUUUUAGCCACGCGCCAUUUGAUGAACCCAUAUGGGAUUAGCUUGUUGGUAGGGUAAUGGCUUACCAAGGCGACGAUCUCUAGCUGGUCUGAGAGGAUGACCAGCCACACUGGAACUGAGACACGGUCCAGACUCCUAUGGGAGGCAGCAGUGGGGGAUAUUGCACAAUGGGGGAAACCCUGAUGCAGCCAUGCCGCGUGUAUGAAGAAGGCUUUCGGGUUGUAAAGUACUUUCGGUAAUGAGGAAGGUGUAUUAUCUAACAGGUAAUGCAAUUGACGUUAGUUACAGAAGAAGCACCGGCUAACUCCGUGCCAGCAGCCGCGGUAAUACGGAGGGUGCGAGCGUUAAUCGGAAUAACUGGGCGUAAAGGGCAUGCAGGCGGGUCAUUAAGUUAGGUGUGAAAUCCCCGGGCUCAACCUGGGAACUGCACUUAAAACUGGUGGUCUGGAGUAUUGUAGAGGAAGGUAGAAUUCCACGUGUAGCGGUGAAAUGCGUAGAGAUGUGGAGGAAUACCGGUGGCGAAGGCGGCCUUCUGGACAAAUACUGACGCUGAGAUGCGAAAGCGUGGGGAGCAAACAGGAUUAGAUACCCUGGUAGUCCACGCUGUAAACGAUGUCGAUUUGGAGUUUGGUGGCAUGACUGCUGGGCUUCGAAGCUAACGCGUUAAAUCGACCGCCUGGGGAGUACGGCCGCAAGGUUAAAACUCAAAUGAAUUGACGGGGGCCCGCACAAGCGGUGGAGCAUGUGGUUUAAUUCGAUGCAACGCGAAGAACCUUACCUGGUCUUGACAUCCACAGAAUUCUGUAGAGAUACGGGAGUGCCUUAGGGAGCUGUGAGACAGGUGCUGCAUGGCUGUCGUCAGCUCGUGUUGUGAAAUGUUGGGUUAAGUCCCGCAACGAGCGC
Molecule: ribosomal RNA, 1052 nt
Filed under: Serratia symbiotica
Lineage: Bacteria; Pseudomonadati; Pseudomonadota; Gammaproteobacteria; Enterobacterales; Yersiniaceae
Description: bacterial SSU rRNA
Rfam family: Bacterial small subunit ribosomal RNA
Source: RNAcentral